Molecule: ribosomal RNA, 397 nt
Filed under: uncultured bacterium
Lineage: Bacteria
Description: partial 16S ribosomal RNA
Rfam family: Bacterial small subunit ribosomal RNA
Source: RNAcentral
AUACGUAGGUGACAAGCGUUAUCCGGAUUUACUGGGCGUAAAGGGCGUGUAGGCGGUCUUGCAAGUCAGAAGUGAAAUUCCUGAGCUCAACUCGGGCGCUGCUUCUGAAACUGCAGGACUUGAGUGCUGGAGGGGAUAGCGGAAUUCCUCGUGGAGCGGUAAAAUGCGCAGAUAUUAGGAAGAACACCGGUGGCGAAGGCGGCUAUCUGGACAGUAACUGACGCUGAGGCGCGAAAGCGUGGGGAGCAAACAGGAUUAGAUCCCCUGGUAGUCCACGCCGUAAACGAUGAAUACUAGGUGUAGGGGGUAUCGACUCCCUCUGUGCCGCAGUUAACACAAUAAGUAUUCCGCCUGGGGAGUACGGCCGCAAGGUUGAAACUCAAAUGAAUUGACGGGG